ACCAUCCAAGAAUUCACCCACUCUGCAAAAAGCAAGGGGAGGGAGAAGGGGGAGGAGAGGAAGAAAGAAAAAAAAAAAAAAAGAAAAGAAAAAAAUGCCCCUCUUCCUUCUCUUCUUCCAGCCCUGAUUAAAUUCACUUUUGUCAGAAAGCAACACACCUGUGGCCUCUCAGCUCCUACUCUGCUUGUCAUCUGAUUUCUGUUUCCUAAUCUCAGACACCUGUGCUGGUGUAAAUUAGCACUUCAUGGGAGCUCUCUGGCUUUCUGACACCUGUAUGGUCUGACAGGUACUCCAGCAGAGAAAGAGGAGCAGUAGCACUGCAUUUUCCCCUUUAUCUCUCUGUCUUGUAUAACUUCACAAUUGGUUUAAGCCAAUAUAAAUGAUGUGGCAGAAACACUGGGCUGGUGUGGGGAAUGUGUAUCCUGACCUGAAGAAGGGAACAUUGGACCUGGAUAAUUGAAGGGACUGAUAAAAUGUACUCACUGCUCUACAAUGAAAACAUUUGCUUGGCCCUCUCCUCAUGUUUUCUAACAGGUUGUAUCAACUGACUUCAGUUUUGUGUGCAACAAAGAGCUCCACAAACCCUACUACUGCAGUGAUACCACCAGAGGCGAGCCUUCUGCUUCCUGACGUGGCUCUCUUCCGCCAGCAGUUGGGUCUGCAGUGAGAGGGGCCCAUGGCAAGGCACCAAGACUCCCCCGGGUAAUAUGGCUGGUGGUGCCCCUGGGUCCCUGUGGGGUGCUGCAGGCCCAGACCCUUACAGGAGCACCCAGGCAGCAGCAGUCUUUUGUAGACUGAAUUAAAAGAGCCUAUUGUAAAUUGGCAUAAAUUCAUAUAAAGUAAUUCCUACACAGUGUGACCACUCUGUUGUGCCAGAUGGAUGGUCCAGGAUCUGUGGCGUAAUGGGGAAUUGGGACAUCGGUGUUCAAAGUACAGGGCUCUGCACGUAUGGCUGCAGGUAGGCCAAAAAGGAGUUUAUUACCUUUCCCCCACGGCACUGCAUUUUUCUCACUU
Molecule: long non-coding RNA, 1014 nt
Filed under: Anas platyrhynchos platyrhynchos (common mallard)
Lineage: Eukaryota; Metazoa; Chordata; Aves; Anseriformes; Anatidae
Description: lncRNA (ENSAPLG00000018919.1)
Source: RNAcentral